CUGGCCAUGCCGGAGCCGGCGGCGCCGCCGCCACAGCCCGCCGCCUCCGGGUGGUCCCGGAGGUAACCCUCCAGGAGGUCGAACGACACCUGGUUCUCGGCGAGGCCCAUCUGUAUGACGCCGCCCGGGUUGGACACGGCGUCGUAGGGGUUCUCGUCGUAGGCCUUCCACCCGGCGAAGUACGGCGAGUCCUCGCCGUGGAGGCCGGAGGUCGCCACCUUCGACAGGGGCGCCGCCGCCGCCCCGUGGCUGGCAUCGAGCAACAGCUUGCCACCCAUGGCCUUUGCAAGCGAGUGCAAGAAGACUCUUCGAUCUGAUGGCGCUUGCAAAGGGAAUUUGCAGUGCAGAGUUGCAGUGGCAGUUCAAGAACGAAAUGAGCAGACAAGGCAGGGGAGGACUGGGCAAGCUGUGAUGAUCCGGC
RNAcentral lists this long non-coding RNA (421 nucleotides) under Setaria viridis. Its description in RNAcentral is "long non-coding RNA (SVIR_LNC005306)". Lineage: Eukaryota; Viridiplantae; Streptophyta; Magnoliopsida; Poales; Poaceae. The record is from RNAcentral.